CGGUGUUGUUGUGAGAAGUUCAUUAAACCUUAUCAUUUAGAGGAAGGAGAAGUCGUAACAAGGUUUCCGUAGGUGAACCUGCGGAAGGAUCAUUGAACACACGAUCUCGGAAAAACCCUGUGAACUGUGCCAUGUAUCUCGAGGGAUCGUGUUGGGAGGCACGAUCGUCGGACCCGGACUCAAGGAUUCAUGCGCGUCCGCCGUGAUCCUCUUACUGGUGCGUGUUGGGACUAAUGCGUCUCCGGAGUGCCGUCGGAACACUCCUCCACACGCGUGGCUUCGGGUUUCGCUUGCAGCGUGGAGAGGAUCUUCGAUCCUUCUCGACCUUGUCCGUGGCACCCGAAGUCGGGAGUGCGUUCCCCUCCUCCGAGGGGGAGUCGGGAGUCCCGGGGAUCCUCCUGGUGGCUCCCUUCUCUCCCUUCGGUGCCCCUUUUUCCCCAAAGAGGAACCUGUUGAAACGAGUUUUGGUGGACUGAGAUGGGACGAAGGGGUCCGGAUCCUUCUUGGACGGAUUCCCUGAGUCCCAAGGAAAGCGAAAUGACGCAAAUGACUCUCAAGCCACGGAUAUCUUGGCUCUUGCAACGAUGAAGAACGCAGCGAAAUGCGAUACCUAGUGUGAAUUGCAGAAUUCCGCGAAUCAUCGAGUUUUUGAACGCAAGUUGCGCCCGAGGCUCGUUCCGAGGGCAUGCCUGCCUGAGCGUCCGCUUUGACCCACCCGCGAGCCUCUCCUCCUCCUCCUCUCGAUCUCGGGGGGAGGAUGGAGGAGUUGGGGAGUGCGAGUGGAAUUUGGUCGUCCGGGAACCCGACCGUCACCCUGUGGUGACUGUCGAGGGAUUCGCGGUUGGCUGAAAAUUGGGAACCGUCCGUCAAGCGCGCGCAGGGGAUUGGUGGUGUGUCGCGAGAAGGUGCCGUCCUCUCCUCGUCUUGAACGAGAGAUGGACGUUUGUGACGAAAGCGUCGCGCUCCCCCUGCGGAGUCUCGACUUGGCGGACUGGUGGGACUUGAAGCAUGGGAACGCGAGGGCCCGGGCUCCCUCCCAGCUCGCCCCCCUCGAAUCCGAGGUGGGACUUGCUGGGACGCAUCGGCCCAAGUGUGACGUUCUUCGGACCUCAGAUCAGGCAAGACCACCCGCUGAGUUUAAGCAUAUCACUAAGCGGAGGAGAAGAAACUAACAAGG
The sequence is a ribosomal RNA, 1177 nucleotides long. The stretch from base 550 to 703 matches the Rfam family "5.8S ribosomal RNA".